AAUGUUCGGAUCGAACACAUCAAGC
RNAcentral lists this non-coding RNA (25 nucleotides) under Cricetulus griseus (Chinese hamster). The record is from RNAcentral. Lineage: Eukaryota; Metazoa; Chordata; Mammalia; Rodentia; Cricetidae.